Molecule: non-coding RNA, 77 nt
Organism: Parelaphostrongylus tenuis
Lineage: Eukaryota; Metazoa; Nematoda; Chromadorea; Rhabditida; Metastrongylidae
Source: the annotation of a GenBank genome assembly
GCGUCAGUAGCGCAACGAGUUAGAGCUCGCGCGCUCCUGCAUAGGGUGAGUUGCGGGUUCGAGUCCCGCCUGACGCA